Molecule: long non-coding RNA, 1028 nt
Organism: Oncorhynchus keta (chum salmon)
Lineage: Eukaryota; Metazoa; Chordata; Actinopteri; Salmoniformes; Salmonidae
Exons: 3
Source: RefSeq, a predicted model, not a curated record
AAUGCUCACUAACAGGGAUGUAAACAGAUUCGUGAACAACAUGUGAGAGAAAUAAGCUUUUUGUGCGUAUGAACAUUUCUGGGAACUUUUAUUUCAGCUCAUGAAACAUGGGACCAACACUUCGCAUGUUGCGUUUAUAUUUUUGUUCAAUGUAGUUUUUCCUUCCAAAAAGUGGAACUUGUUUCGUUGAUGGCAAUUAGCUGCUAAUACCUGUGAGAUUUUCCAUCUGCUCUGCUCUACCUCAUGCUGCUUCCUUCCAGGCUCCACAGUGAACAGACUAUUAAUGAUGGGUGGCGAACACAGAGACAUCCUUCCAUGCAGGCAGACAUCCAUCCGCCAUAUUGGUUUUCCUCCUUCCUGUUUAUAUUGAACUUGACCUCUGAACCCUGACCUCCUGCAUAAUCUUGGAUCCACACCUCCCCAGCCCCCCCUCCAUGUGUGUGUGUGUCUGUGUGUGUGAGAAGGAGAGAGAGAAAUAAAUAUACUCCUGUAAAGUAACAGAGGUCUGUUGUUAUCUAACUAUAUUUUAGGAUCGCCUCCUGCAAAUUCUGACUGAAUGAUUCUUGAAGGACACACACCAAUCGGGUUAAUACGAUGACAGACAAGUAAUAUCAUUUCCACUCCCAGGCUCUGGUCCAGUGAGUGUCAGGCUGCUGAAGGAGUGUCUGGCUGCCUGGCUGCCUGUGUGAGGGCCAGGGUUAGACAUGAGGCGAGCUGGCAGCAGGAGAGAGAGGGGAGUCACAAGGUUGCCACCCAGAGCAGUAGACUUGCUUGUCUCAGCAGAGUAAACAUCACCCCUCGUCUGCACACAGUAAUAGCUAACAGAGAAGGACGUGGACAGAAACACUAUGAGGAGGAUAGGGACUGGCUGCUGGCUCUGUCUAGCACAGCAGGCCGCAUGGCACACAGGCAUUCCUUUUUUAUCUUCUCCUUCCCAGUCCCCCUAAAAACAAGCAAUGAGUCUCCACCCUUGUGUAAAGCAGUGGGCGCAGGCAUUACCAUAGUCAAAGACACACACACGCACACAC